GACGAACGCUGGCGGCGUGCCUAAUACAUGCAAGUUGAGCGAUGAAGAUUGGUGCUUGCACCAAUUUGAAGAGCAGCGAACGGGUGAGUAACGCGUGGGGAAUCUGCCUUUGAGCGGGGGACAACAUUUGGAAACGAAUGCUAAUACCGCAUAACAACUUUAAACAUAAGUUUUAAGUUUGAAAGAUGCAAUUGCAUCACUCAAGGAUGAUCCCGCGUUGUAUUAGCUAGUUGGUGAGGUAAAGGCUCACCAAGGCGAUGAUACAUAGCCGACCUGAGAGGGUGAUCGGCCACAUUGGGACUGAGACACGGCCCAAACGCCUACGGGAGGCAGCAGUAGGGAAUCUUCGGCAAUGGACGAAAGUCUGACCGAGCAACGCCGCGUGAGUGAAGAAGGUUUUCGGAUCGUAAAACUCUGUUGGUAGAGAAGAACGUUGGUGAGAGUGGAAAGCUCAUCAAGUGACGGUAACUACCCAGAAAGGGACGGCUAACUACGUG
Molecule: ribosomal RNA, 497 nt
Filed under: uncultured bacterium
Lineage: Bacteria
Description: partial 16S ribosomal RNA
Rfam family: Bacterial small subunit ribosomal RNA
Source: RNAcentral